This 30-nucleotide non-coding RNA is filed under the name Rattus norvegicus (Norway rat). Lineage: Eukaryota; Metazoa; Chordata; Mammalia; Rodentia; Muridae. The record is from RNAcentral.
CAAAUGUCAUAACCAUUCCGUGUCCUUUAA